RNAcentral lists this ribosomal RNA (544 nucleotides) under uncultured Bacteroidota bacterium. RNAcentral's name for it is "bacterial SSU rRNA". It matches the Rfam family "Bacterial small subunit ribosomal RNA", at positions 100 to 642 of the family's 1533-position model. Lineage: Bacteria; Pseudomonadati; Bacteroidota. The record is from RNAcentral.
AGACGGGUGAGGAACACGUACGCAACUUUCCUUAAACCGGGGCACAACCUUGAGAAAUCAGGGCUAAUUCCCCAUAACAUUGCGAGAGGGCAUCUGAUUGCAAUUAAAGAUUCGUCGGUUUGAGAUGGGCGUGCGUUCGAUUAGCUAGUUGGUAGGGUAACGGCUUACCAAGGCAACGAUCGAUAGCUGGUGUGAGAGCACGACCAGCCACACGGGCACUGAGAUACGGGCCCGACUCCUACGGGAGGCAGCAGUAAGGAAUAUUGGUCAAUGGACGAAAGUCUGAACCAGCCAUGCCGCGUGAGGGAUGAAGGUCCUCUGGAUUGUAAACCUCUUUUAUCUAUGAAGAAAUGUCCUGUUUCUACGGGAUUUGACGGUAAUAGAUGAAUAAGCACCGGCUAACUCCGUGCCAGCAGCCGCGGUAAUACGGAGGGUGCAAGCGUUAUCCGGAUUUACUGGGUUUAAAGGGUGCGUAGGUGGGUUGGUAAGUCAGUGGUGAAAUACUUUCGCUUAACGAAGGAACUGCCAUUGAUACUACCAGUCU